UUUUGGCAAGAGUCGUGAUUGAAUUAGAUGCGUGAAAGAGAAAUCCAUUUUUUUAUGAACUCAGUUUUUUGAGGCAUUUGGAUUUGUCUGACUUAUCUCCC
Pyrus x bretschneideri (Chinese white pear) is the source of this 101-nucleotide small nucleolar RNA. RefSeq annotates it as small nucleolar RNA Z266. The record is from RefSeq and is a predicted model, not a curated record. Lineage: Eukaryota; Viridiplantae; Streptophyta; Magnoliopsida; Rosales; Rosaceae. The transcript has a single exon.